GCCCGCGUGGGGUAGCUAGGAUAUCCUGGGGGGUUGCGGACCCCUUGACUCGGAUUCGAAUUCCGGCGCGGGCA
This 74-nucleotide transfer RNA is filed under the name Thermoplasmatales archaeon. Its description in RNAcentral is "tRNA-Arg". The record is from RNAcentral. Lineage: Archaea; Methanobacteriati; Thermoplasmatota; Thermoplasmata; Thermoplasmatales.